AACGAACGCUGGCGGCAUGCCUAACACAUGCAAGUCGAACGAGACCUUCGGGUCUAGUGGCGCACGGGUGCGUAACGCGUGGGAACCUGCCCUUAGGUUCGGACUAACUCCCCGACAGGGGUGCUAAUACCGGAUCAUGUCUUCGGACCAAAGAUUUAUCGCCUUUGGAUGGGCCCGCGUUGGAUUAGCUAGUUGGUAGGGUAAAAGCCUACCAAGGCGACGAUCCAUAGCUGGUCUGAGAGGAUGAUCAGCCACACUGGGACUGAGACACGGCCCAGACUCCUACGGGAGGCAGCAGUGGGGAAUAUUGGACAAUGGGCGAAAGCCUGAUCCAGCAAGGCCGCGUGAGUGAUGAAGGCCUUAGGGUUGUAAAGCUCUUUUAACCGGGAUGAUAAUGACAGUACCGGGAGAAUAAGCCCCGGCUAACUCCGUG
RNAcentral lists this ribosomal RNA (433 nucleotides) under uncultured bacterium. RNAcentral describes it as "partial 16S ribosomal RNA". It matches the Rfam family "Bacterial small subunit ribosomal RNA", at positions 29 to 507 of the family's 1533-position model. The record is from RNAcentral.